UCGAGAAUAUUCGACAAUGGACGAAAGUCUGAUCGAGCGACGCCGCGUGAAGGAUGAAGCCCCUCGGGGCGUAAACUUCUUUUAGCAGGGAAGAACUCAAUGACGGUACCUGCAGAAUAAGGGCUUGCAAAUCUCGUGCCAGCAGCCGCGGUAAUACGAGAGGCCCGAGCGUUAUCCGGAGUUACUGGGCGUAAAGGGUGUGUAGGGGGUUGCGUUAGUCUUUGUUUAAAUCUUUGGGCCCAACCCAAAAACUGGCAAGGAAACGGCGCAACUUGAGGAUGUGAGAGGCGAGUGGAACUCAUGGUGGAGGGGUGAAAUCCGUUGAUAUCAUGGGGAACACCAAAGGCGAAGGCAGCUCGCUGGCGCAUACCUGACCCUGAAACACGAAAGCGUGGGGAUC
Molecule: ribosomal RNA, 400 nt
Filed under: uncultured bacterium
Lineage: Bacteria
Description: bacterial SSU rRNA
Rfam family: Bacterial small subunit ribosomal RNA
Source: RNAcentral